ACCUCCGCGUAUCUUAUAAUUUAUAACUAAAUAAAACACUUAAAUACACCCUCACCUCAAGACAAAAAUUAGUACUUAAAAGGAAUAUAUAAAUAUAUUUAAGUAGCAGUAAACUAGCGUACCUUGUGCAUUAUGGUUUUACAAGAUCAACAUUAAAUAUAAAUCCCGAAUUCUGAAGGAGCUGCUUUUUCAUAGCUAAGAGCUCACUACUAGUUGUGGCAUUAACUUUAGAAAAUGUAAAAGCAGAGGCUACAUACCACCCGCGUCAGAAAAUUGCUGGUUCUUAGCUAAACUUAUAUAUUAAACCAUGCAGAUAAACUGCAGUGUAAAAUUUCAGAGGAUAAGCCCUGAAACCAAAUCAAAAAUACUUCAUAAAUAAAUAUAAUAGGCCUAAAAUCAGCCACCCUAAUUACCUUACCGUAAAUCAUAUAUAAUAUUAUUUCCCCUGUUCAUAAAAGCUAAGAUCUAAGAAAAAUUAGUAUCCUUAUAAUAUUAUGUAAAAAUAAGUAUUAAAAUUAAUAAUUCAUAUUAAAAUCAAAUAAACACCUACAAAGGAACUCGGCAAAUUACAAUUUCGAC
Molecule: ribosomal RNA, 579 nt
Filed under: Dendrobaena sp. MPL-2014
Lineage: Eukaryota; Metazoa; Annelida; Clitellata; Crassiclitellata; Lumbricidae
Description: partial 16S ribosomal RNA
Source: RNAcentral